GACGAACGCUGGCGGCGUGCUUAACACAUGCAAGUCGAACGGAAAGGCCCUGCUUGCAGGGUGCUCGAGUGGCGAACGGGUGAGUAACACGUGGGUGAUCUGCCCCUUACUUUGGGAUAAGCCUGGGAAACUGGGUCUAAUACUGGAUAGGACCAUGCUGUAGGUGGUGUGGUGGAAAGAUUAUUUUCGGUAAGGGAUGAGCUCGCGGCCUAUCAGCUUGUUGGUGGGGUAAUGGCCUACCAAGGCGUCGACGGGUAGCCGGCCUGAGAGGGUGGACGGCGACAUUGGGACUGUGAGACGGCGCAGAGUCCUACGGGGGGCAGAAGUGGGGAAUAUUGCACAAUGGGGGUAAGCCUGAUGUAGCGACGCGGCGUGGGGGAUGACGGCCUUCGGGUUGUGAACUCCUUUCAGCCAUGACGAAGCGCUUGUGGUGACGGUAGUGGUAGAAGAAGCACCGGCUAACUACGUG
RNAcentral lists this ribosomal RNA (469 nucleotides) under uncultured bacterium. RNAcentral's name for it is "partial 16S ribosomal RNA". It matches the Rfam family "Bacterial small subunit ribosomal RNA", at positions 28 to 507 of the family's 1533-position model. The record is from RNAcentral.